This 627-nucleotide ribosomal RNA is filed under the name uncultured bacterium. RNAcentral's name for it is "bacterial SSU rRNA". It matches the Rfam family "Bacterial small subunit ribosomal RNA", at positions 219 to 842 of the family's 1533-position model. The record is from RNAcentral.
UGGCGGAUGGGCAUGCGGCGCAUUAGCUAGUCGGCGGGGUAACGGCCCACCGAGGCGACGAUGCGUAGGGGUUCUGAGAGGAAGGUCCCCCACACUGGUACUGAGACACGGACCAGACUCCUACGGGAGGCAGCAGUGAGGAAUAUUGGUCAAUGGGCGCGAGCCUGAACCAGCCAAGUCGCGUGAGGGAUGACGGUCCUACGGAUUGUAAACCUCUUUUGCCGGGGAGCAAGCGUGCGUUCGUGAACGCGCGUCGAGAGUACCCGGAGAAAAAGCAUCGGCUAACUCCGUGCCAGCAGCCGCGGUAAUACGGAGGAUGCGAGCGUUAUCCGGAUUUAUUGGGUUUAAGGGGUGCGUAGGCGGGAUGCCAAGUCAGCGGUAAAAAUGCGGUGCUCAACGCCGUCGAGCCGUUGAAACUGGCGUUCUUGAGUGGGCGAGAAGUAUGCGGAAUGCGUGGUGUAGCGGUGAAAUGCAUAGAUAUCACGCAGAACUCCGAUUGCGAAGGCAGCAUACCGGCGCCCUACUGACGCUGAGGCACGAAAGCGUGGGUAUCGAACAGGAUUAGAUACCCUGGUAGUCCACGCAGUAAACGAUGAAUGCUAACUGUCCGGCUCGAAUGAGCGCUGG